GAUUUUAUCUCUAAAUUGAACGAAUACUACUCAAUCACUUCAGGACAAGAUGAGGGAGGAGCAGACUCACCGGCUCAGACGGCGGUUUCGGCGCUGGCAGACUCCUCCACGAAUUGGGCCACAUGUGGGAUGGCGGGGCGUGGUCUGCGUGACUCCAUGAGAUCCAUGGACAUCGGCUCUUCGUACGGCGUGGGGAUGCGCAAUGGCUCGGUGACAGAAAGCAUGUGUUGCAUGUGAAAGCAUGAGAAUUAUGGACAGUGAUUUUGACUUGCAUCCAUUCAUCCAGGUAUCUUACUUAGUAUUUAAUUUGUUAUUUUAAUAUGCAGGUGCUAAUGCGGAUAUGCAUUUCAUUCCAAG
Molecule: long non-coding RNA, 357 nt
Organism: Lolium rigidum
Lineage: Eukaryota; Viridiplantae; Streptophyta; Magnoliopsida; Poales; Poaceae
Exons: 3
Source: RefSeq, a predicted model, not a curated record